UCCUGCAUAGCUAAAUUGGUUAGAGUGUGGUGCUGAUAAGGCUAAGGUCGCAGGUUCAAUCCCCGUAUAGGAA
Molecule: non-coding RNA, 73 nt
Organism: Podarcis lilfordi (Lilford's wall lizard)
Lineage: Eukaryota; Metazoa; Chordata; Lepidosauria; Squamata; Lacertidae
Source: the annotation of a GenBank genome assembly